GUGGGGAAUCUUGCGCAAUGGGCGAAAGCCUGACGCAGCCAUGCCGCGUGAAUGAUGAAGGUCUUAGGAUUGUAAAAUUCUUUCACCGGGGACGAUAAUGACGGUACCCGGAGAAGAAGCUCCGGCUAACUUCGUGCCAGCAGCCGCGGUAAUACGAAGGGGGCUAGCGUUGCUCGGAAUUACUGGGCGUAAAGGGCGCGUAGGCGGACAGCUUAGUCAGAGGUGAAAGCCCAGGGCUCAACCUUGGAAUUGCCUUUGAUACUGGCUGUCUUGAGUUUGGGAGAGGUGAGUGGAACUCCGAGUGUAGAGAUGAAAUUCGUAGAUAUUCGGAAGAACACCAGUGGCGAAGGCGACUCACUGGCCCAAUACUGACGCUGAGGCGCGAAAGCGUGGGGAGCAAACAGGAUUAGAUACCCGGGUAGUCC
Molecule: ribosomal RNA, 425 nt
Filed under: uncultured bacterium
Lineage: Bacteria
Description: partial 16S ribosomal RNA
Rfam family: Bacterial small subunit ribosomal RNA
Source: RNAcentral